GUUCCAAGGAGACGGCGGCUACCUGGAAGAACCUGUUUUUUUUUAGGACAACCAUGUAAAGUGAUUGGCCAAGACUACUUCACAUUACCAAUCACAUGGGCCAUGGCUUUUCAAUCUGACGGUCAAUCUUGCUCUGCCGGAAAGUUGCCCUUACCAAUUGGAGUGGAAACAAAUUUUAUAUUCAAAACUUAAAGCAAUGCCCAUAUGAAUAGAAAAAUUAUAGGGGACCAAGAGAGAGCCCCCUGUACGAACAAGAUUCGUUGCCAAAACAAGUUGCGCAGGUGAACCGGAGAAAACAAGAAUAGUAUCAAGAAUCUCAAUUGGAAGAAAUGAGACAAACCGAGGCGGGAAAAGGAAGAAACAAAAAACAGA
Molecule: long non-coding RNA, 372 nt
Organism: Alnus glutinosa
Lineage: Eukaryota; Viridiplantae; Streptophyta; Magnoliopsida; Fagales; Betulaceae
Exons: 3
Source: RefSeq, a predicted model, not a curated record